Molecule: ribosomal RNA, 383 nt
Filed under: uncultured eukaryote
Lineage: Eukaryota
Description: partial 18S ribosomal RNA
Rfam family: Eukaryotic small subunit ribosomal RNA
Source: RNAcentral
CAAUAGCGUAUAUUAAAGUUGUUGCAGUUAAAAAGCUCGUAGUUGGAUUUCUGGUGGGAGCGAUCGGUCUGGCGCUUAGCGCGAGUACUUGCAUCGUCUCCGGCCAUCCUUGGGGAGAGUCUGUCUGGCAUUAGGUUGUCGGGCAGAGGAUCCUCAUCGUUUACUGUGAAAAAAUUAGAGUGUUCAAAGCAGGCUUAUGCCGUUGAAUAUAUUAGCAUGGAAUAAUAAGAUAGGACUUUGGUACUAUUUUGUUGGUUUGCGCACCAAAGUAAUGAUUAAUAGGGACAGUUGGGGGUAUUCGUAUUCCGUUGUCAGAGGUGAAAUUCUUGGAUUUACGGAAGACGAACUACUGCGAAAGCAUUUACCAAGGAUGUUUNUAUUAA